UACAGAGGGGGCGAGCGUUGUUCGGAAUUACUGGGCGUAAAGGGCGCGUAGGCGGCCCGCUAAGUCGAACGUGAAAUCCCCAGGCUCAACCUGGGAACUGCGUCCGAUACUGGCAGGCUUGAAUCCGGGAGAGGGAUGUGGAAUUCCAGGUGUAGCGGUGAAAUGCGUAGAUAUCUGGAGGAACACCGGUGGCGAAGGCGGCAUCCUGGACUGCAACUGACACUGAUGAACGAAAGCCAGGGGAGCAAACGGG
Molecule: ribosomal RNA, 253 nt
Filed under: uncultured bacterium
Lineage: Bacteria
Description: partial 16S ribosomal RNA
Rfam family: Bacterial small subunit ribosomal RNA
Source: RNAcentral